This 863-nucleotide ribosomal RNA is filed under the name uncultured bacterium. RNAcentral describes it as "bacterial SSU rRNA". It matches the Rfam family "Bacterial small subunit ribosomal RNA", at positions 58 to 916 of the family's 1533-position model. The record is from RNAcentral.
CAAGUCGAGCGGUAGCAGGCCUUCGGGUGCUGACGAGCGGCGAACGGGUGAGUAACGCGUAGGAAUCUGCCUGAUAGAGGGGGAUAGCCCGGGGAAACUCGGAUUAAUACCGCAUACGCCCUACGGGGGAAAGCAGGGGAUCUUCGGACCUUGCGCUAUCAGAUGAGCCUGCGUCGGAUUAGCUAGUUGGUAGGGUAAAGGCCUACCAAGGCGACGAUCCGUAACUGGUCUGAGAGGAUGAUCAGUCACACUGGAACUGAGACACGGUCCAGACUCCUACGGGAGGCAGCAGUGGGGAAUAUUGGACAAUGGGGGAAACCCUGAUCCAGCCAUGCCGCGUGUGUGAAGAAGGCCUUCGGGUUGUAAAGCACUUUAAGCAGGGAGGAAAGAGUGAUGGCUAAUAUCCAUUAUUUUUGACGCUACCUGCAGAAUAAGCACCGGCUAACUUCGUGCCAGCAGCCGCGGUAAUACGAAGGGUGCAAGCGUUAAUCGGAAUUACUGGGCGUAAAGCGCGCGUAGGCGGUUUGAUAAGUUGGAUGUGAAAGCCCCGGGCUCAACCUGGGAAUUGCAUCCAAGACUGUCAGGCUAGAGUACGGGAGAGGGGGGUAGAAUUCCACGUGUAGCGGUGAGAUGCGUAGAGAUGUGGAGGAAUACCGGUGGCGAAGGCGGCCCCCUGGAUCGAUACUGACGCUGAGGUGCGAAAGCGUGGGGAGCAAACAGGAUUAGAUACCCUGGUAGUCCACGCCGUAAACGGUGGGCGCUAGAUGUGGGGACCAUUCCAUGGUUUCUGCGUCGCAGCUAACGCAUUAAGCGCCCCGCCUGGGGAGUACGGUCGCAAGACUAAAACUCAAAGGAAUUGACGG